AUUAAGCUCAAGCAGUUUCCUCAUUUUUGGUAAGCAGCCCAGACAUGGCAGCCCAAACCGUUGCCCAUGCCACACCACUUCCUCGGCCCAUGCCGAGCUAAUCCUUGGCUUCAAUCAAGCCGAGCAGAACAAGCAAUGGCCCCUGCCACACCACCUCAUUGGCCCAUGACAAGUCAACUUUUUACCCCUGCCAGUUGACGUGCCGCACCACCCUGACAGCUGCCCCGUGGCAACACCUCCCAAGAAGAAGACAAUGAGAAUUAAGUUUUCCUUACAUCGGUGCGGCGCGAAGAAGACGAAGAAAGCAACGAAAGACGGUCAUUUGCACGGGCAAGUGUAGAAGAUUGCUAAG
RNAcentral lists this long non-coding RNA (352 nucleotides) under Malus domestica (apple). RNAcentral's name for it is "long non-coding RNA (MDOM_LNC006322)". Lineage: Eukaryota; Viridiplantae; Streptophyta; Magnoliopsida; Rosales; Rosaceae. The record is from RNAcentral.